RNAcentral lists this ribosomal RNA (472 nucleotides) under Klebsiella planticola. Its description in RNAcentral is "bacterial SSU rRNA". It matches the Rfam family "Bacterial small subunit ribosomal RNA", at positions 1 to 471 of the family's 1533-position model. The record is from RNAcentral. Lineage: Bacteria; Pseudomonadati; Pseudomonadota; Gammaproteobacteria; Enterobacterales; Enterobacteriaceae.
AAAUUGAAGAGUUUGAUCAUGGCUCAGAUUGAACGCUGGCGGCAGGCCUAACACAUGCAAGUCGAGCGGUAGCACAGAGAGCUUGCUCUCGGGUGACGAGCGGCGGACGGGUGAGUAAUGUCUGGGAAACUGCCUGAUGGAGGGGGAUAACUACUGGAAACGGUAGCUAAUACCGCAUAACGUCGCAAGACCAAAGUGGGGGACCUUCGGGCCUCAUGCCAUCAGAUGUGCCCAGAUGGGAUUAGCUAGUAGGUGGGGUAAUGGCUCACCUAGGCGACGAUCCUUAGCUGGUCUGAGAGGAUGACCAGCCACACUGGAACUGAGACACGGUCCAGACUCCUACGGGAGGCAGCAGUGGGGAAUAUUGCACAAUGGGCGCAAGCCUGAUGCAGCCAUGCCGCGUGUAUGAAGAAGGCCUUCGGGUUGUAAAGUACUUUCAGCGAGGAGGAAGGCGUUAAGGUUAAUAACCUUG